RNAcentral lists this ribosomal RNA (1356 nucleotides) under uncultured marine eukaryote. RNAcentral's name for it is "SSU rRNA". It matches the Rfam family "Eukaryotic small subunit ribosomal RNA", at positions 411 to 1779 of the family's 1831-position model. The record is from RNAcentral.
CACUUCUAAGGAAGGCAGCAGGCGCGCAAAUUACCCAAUCCUGACUCAGGGAGGUAGUGACAAGAAAUAACAAUAAACCGGCUUAUGCCGGUUUAAUUGGAAUGAGUACAAUUUAAACAUCUUAACGAGGAACAAUUGGAGGGCAAGUCUGGUGCCAGCAGCCGCGGUAAUUCCAGCUCCAAUAGCGUAUACUAAAGUUGUUGCAGUUAAAAAGCUCGUAGUUGGAUUUCUGUGGGGACGGAGCGGCCGGCCGCACAUCGCGGUUCGAGCUAGCGCUUUCCCUACAUCCUGCCGCGAACCGUGCUACCAUUAAUUUGGUGGCGCCGGGGAUCGGCUCGAUUACUUUGAGAAAAAUAGAGUGUUCAAAGCAGGCCACAUGCCUUGAAUAAGUUAGCAUGGAAUAAUAACUAAGGACUUCGGUUCUAUUUUGUUGGUGUUCGGGACUGAAGUAAUGAUUGAUAGGGACAGUUGGGGCGGUCUGUAUUCCAAAGCGAGAGGUGAAAUUCUUAGACCUUCGGAAGACAAACAGCUGCGAAAGCGUUCCGCAAGGAUGUUCCCUUUGAUCAAGAACGAAAGUUGGGGGAUCGAAGACGAUCAGAUACCGUCGUAGUCUCAACUAUAAACUAUACCAGCUAGGGAUCGGCCAACGUUAUUUUAUACCGACUUGGUCGGCACCUUAUGAGAAAUCAAAGCAUCUGGGUUCCGGGGGGAGUAUGGUCGCAAGGCUGAAACUUAAAGGAAUUGACGGAAGGGCACCACCAGCCGUGGAGCCUGUGGCUUAAUUUGACUCAACACGGGAAAACUUACCAGGUCCAGACAUAGUAAGGAUUGACAGAUUGAUAGCUCUUUCUUGAUUCUGUGGGUGGUGGUGCAUGGCCGUUCUUAGUUGGUGGAGUGAUUUGUCUGGUUAAUUCCGUUAACGAACGAGACCCCAGCCUGCUAAAUAGCGCGCGUGAGCUUUGCUCGCGGCGAGCUUCUUAGAGGGACUAUGAUGCGCGAUAGCACAUGGAAGUUUGGGGCAAUAACAGGUCUGUGAUGCCCUUAGAUGUUCUGGGCCGCACACGGGCUACACUGGCGCCUGCAACGAGCAUAUCAGCUGGCCCGAGAGGGUCUUGGCUAAUCUUUUGAACCGGCGCCGUGCUUGGGAUUGACCUUUGCAAUUGUUGGUCAUGCAACGAGGAAUGCCUUGUAAACGCGAGUCAUCAGCUCGCAUUGAAUACGUCCCUGCCCUUUGUACACACCGCCUGUCGCUCCUACCGAUGAAUGUUCCGAUGAAAUUUUCGGAGAGCACCUGUGAACUUGGCUCUGCCUUGCGAACGGGAGGCUCAAAGUCACUUAAAUCUGAACAUUUCGAGG